Molecule: non-coding RNA, 107 nt
Organism: Gossypium arboreum
Lineage: Eukaryota; Viridiplantae; Streptophyta; Magnoliopsida; Malvales; Malvaceae
Source: Rfam
AACCCAUGGUGAGGGCACCUUCUCAAUAGAUCCUUGUAUCUCUCCCAUGCACCAUAGAGUGUUUCUAAAUCCAUCUGCACAAAAGAAGAAAUAUCAUUCCUUAAUUU